GCAGACAUAGUUUAAAAAAAAAUAUUAGAUUGUGAUUCUAAAGACAGACGUUAGACCCCCUCUUGUCCGCC
This 71-nucleotide transfer RNA is filed under the name Arnoglossus polyspilus (many-spotted lefteye flounder). RNAcentral's name for it is "tRNA-His". It matches the Rfam family "tRNA". From Rfam's summary of the family: Transfer RNA (tRNA) molecules are approximately 80 nucleotides in length. Their secondary structure includes four short double-helical elements and three loops (D, anti-codon, and T loops). The record is from RNAcentral. Lineage: Eukaryota; Metazoa; Chordata; Actinopteri; Pleuronectiformes; Bothidae.